AUAUUACUCCCUCCGUGCAACAAAAGAUGUCUCAAGUUUGUCAAAACUUGGAUGUAUCUAAACAUGACUACUGCAUAGAUGCAGUCAAAUUUAAUCAAAGUUGAGACAUCUUUUGUUGGACGGAGGAAGUAUGUG
Molecule: non-coding RNA, 135 nt
Organism: Brachypodium distachyon (stiff brome)
Lineage: Eukaryota; Viridiplantae; Streptophyta; Magnoliopsida; Poales; Poaceae
Source: Rfam